RNAcentral lists this long non-coding RNA (320 nucleotides) under Nicotiana benthamiana. RNAcentral describes it as "long non-coding RNA (NBEN_LNC020536)". Lineage: Eukaryota; Viridiplantae; Streptophyta; Magnoliopsida; Solanales; Solanaceae. The record is from RNAcentral.
GCCUAAUCAAUUAUAGAAAUAGCCUAUUUACACAUAUAGCCUAACUACAGAAAAUAAGCUAAUUACAAGAAUAGCCUAAUAACAUAAGUAGCCUAUUAGGCUCAGAUAUGACUCCCUUAUUGACCCUUAACGGUCUAAAGUGGGUUUAUCAUCAUCGCAGAUAUGACUCCCUUAUUGACCCUUAACGGUCUAAAGUGGGUUUAUCAUCAUUGCCUAUAUAUGUCUCAACACCCCCCCUCAAGUUGAAGGGGGGAAACCACCAUCAACUUGGACAAAAGAGGAGAGAGAGCAGUCCCAGAUAAAGCCUUGGUCAAUAGANN